This 311-nucleotide long non-coding RNA is filed under the name Mytilus galloprovincialis (Mediterranean mussel). The record is from RNAcentral. Lineage: Eukaryota; Metazoa; Mollusca; Bivalvia; Mytilida; Mytilidae.
UCAUAUCUUCCUAUAUCUACUAACUAAUAUAUAUGUGAACAUUACACGAUACAUAUUAACAUGCAUACACUACACAUUCUUAAGGUAGCUUUUCAAUUCAAUUGAUACAUUUAUUUUGACUUAUUUUCUUUGUCUUUUCGACUGAGGCUUAACUAGUCCUAAGCUGAAACAAAAUGCACACAAAACGAUGUUGGCCAUUGAUGAUGUUACGAUACAUAUAUUUUAGUUCAAUCUACAGUUUCACAUUUCCUUGUUUUUUGCACCAUUGAAGACUUUCUUUAAAAUGGUUUCUGAAUUGUUUGCUGACAAAA